Molecule: transfer-messenger RNA, 340 nt
Filed under: uncultured Clostridium sp.
Lineage: Bacteria; Bacillati; Bacillota; Clostridia; Eubacteriales; Clostridiaceae
Rfam family: transfer-messenger RNA
About the family: Bacterial tmRNA, also known as 10Sa RNA or SsrA, is named for its dual tRNA and mRNA-like properties. Its role is to liberate the mRNA from a stalled ribosome.
Source: RNAcentral
GGGGGCGUUUUGGCUUCGACGGGGGUAAGUGAGGUUUGGUAAGCGAGCCGAGGGACGCAUGGAGCCUCGAUAAUAAAGUAUGCAAAAAGAUAAACGCAGAAGACAAUAAUUUUGCAUUAGCAGCUUAAUAUAAGCGCUCAUCAGUCCUGAAUGCCCACGUUUGGGGUAGCUGGUGUCAUAAAGUGGGAAACGAAGUCUAGCAAAGCUUUGAGCUAGAGGGGUAUUUAUGAAGCUAGUGAAUGGGACGUUUGUCUAUAGAUGUACCCAGGAGCGAAAUUUAAAUUAUAGACUACGCUCGUAGAAAGCUAGACGGAUCUACUUUCGGACAGGGGUUCGAUUC